UUUAAGGAGAUAGCAAGAUACCUUAACAUACGAUGGCCUAUUAGAGACCAAGGCAAUGCAAAUGACACACAGUCACAGAAAACUCAACAGUUGUCCGGAGCUUAAAAAUGAAUGAAAAGGAUGAACUAUCCUUAGAGCCUCAGCGUUGUGUGAGUACACCUCCCGGUCCCAGUGGCACAUCACCAGAGGAUUCAAACAUCUAAAGGUGUCCUCCAUGUCUGGCGGGAAGGUCAUCUCCAUGUUCUCUAUGUUCUUCAUCCCAGGCCGUUCUGGGCUCCAAGCCCGAAGGAGACGGCAAGGUGGACGAUCUGAGAAGACGGGGGCAGAGCGUGUGUGAGCGUGAGGACCUGAAGGAGAGCAGCAGGAAGGAGGUGCAGCAGGCCGUCAGGGAGGCGGCGGAGCAGUGGAGAAGCGUUCUAGAGAAGGCGGAGGAGGUCCUCCACAGGACUGAGCUCCAGUCCACCCUCUCCAGGGAGCUGCAGGCGUUCAGCGGCCAGGCAGAGAGUGCUGGGACCUGGCUGAAGGAGCUCCGACACCAGGCCGCCCCGCUGGAGACCCAGGUGACCCAGGGCAACCAGGAGCAGAUAGAGAGCAGGCUCAAAGCAGCGCAGACGAUCCUUGGCUCCAGGUCGAGGGCCAAGGGCUUCCUGUCAGACCUGAGCAGAGGAGCACAGAGUCUGUGUCAGCGUGAGGACCUGGAGGAGAGCAGGAGGACGGAGGUGCAGCAGACGGUCAGACAGACAGAGGAGCAGUGGAGGUCCCUCCUGAAGACUGCUGAGGGGGCGCAGAGGUACAGGAGUCAUGUCAAGUGACGUCAUGUCACCUGACGUCAUGUCAUGCGACGUCAUGGCCGGUG
RNAcentral lists this long non-coding RNA (856 nucleotides) under Gadus morhua (Atlantic cod). RNAcentral describes it as "lncRNA (ENSGMOG00000030667.1)". Lineage: Eukaryota; Metazoa; Chordata; Actinopteri; Gadiformes; Gadidae. The record is from RNAcentral.